Molecule: long non-coding RNA, 1929 nt
Filed under: Paramuricea clavata
Lineage: Eukaryota; Metazoa; Cnidaria; Anthozoa; Malacalcyonacea; Plexauridae
Source: RNAcentral
CUGAAAAGUUCAGUAAUGGCGCUGCCGCCAUAAUGGCUAUCUUUGUAGUUAUUCGGCUGUCAGGGACAAUCUUGCCGCUAUUUAUGUGUCUGGUUGUAACUAUGUGUCUUCAAAAAGACUACUAAGCACUACUGUUGAGAAAAUAUAAAGGAACAGAAGCAUUAUGAACCGCAAGGUACGAAAAUAUUUGGACUUAUGCACCUAUCAAUGUUUUCCCCCUGAGGGGGGGGUGCGGGCAACCCACGGGAAUUUUGACAUUUUUAAAAUUUUGUUGUCAAAAUCCCCACUGUUGGGCAAGGAAUGGCUGUCAAAAUUCCCCACUAUAUUCCUAAGAUAACAAGGCACACACACGUUUUCCAAUGCGAACAUACAGUCUAUACUGGUUUAAACUUGGUAAAAAUUGAGACACUGUGUAUAAAAGGCUAUAAAAUACCUUUUUCGAUGAAACUUGAUCGUGCUUCUCCGCCAUACUUGUUACCAGGCCUUUCAAUGUCAAAACCGCGCAAACUUUCAAGAUGGCGGAUGUCAAAAUUUCCCGACUCUGGGAGUUGAUGCGUAGGUCAAAUUCCCCUCACUGGGGCUUCAUAGUGUGGUCAAAGUCCCCUGGGUCGCCCGCACCCCCCCCCUCAGGGGGAAAACAAUGAUAGGUGCAUUAUGCAGCGUCAGAAGUUGAUCCUGAAAUUGCAACAUGAUUCAAGUUGCUGGAUGAUGUCCUAUAUUUUAGCAAAUGUUUAUUAAAUAGCAGCUAAAUACAGUUUUUGGUGUCAAACAAAUCAGUUAUUUUAACCACAUAGAAAGAAAAUGUCUAAAUUACUCUGCUUUAUAAUACUAAUUCCCCAAGGACUAAUGGUUGGGAACCUGGUUGGCAGCUACCAGUCAUGGUGGUAAGCCGGGUUGGUGGGUACCAUAAUGUGAGUCACAGAUGUAUGCGUUUAUAUCCGAUUUGGUCAUGAAGGAUUAUUAAUGGAUUUAUAAUAUAUUCCUUAUCUAAAUGAAAAAGGUCGGUAAAAGCCAUGAUGAUUGGUAGCUCUUGCAAGAAGCUGGUCCGCGGUUGAAGGUUGCUUGGGAAACAAGGGAUGCGGCAAGACGACUUUAGGGAAGAUGGUUGCUUGCAUUACUGUUGCAGUAGCUGGUAGAUAUAUAGCAUUAUAGCAGCUACUCAUCAAGUGUGAGAAUGAUAAACCUUAAAUUAUGUACUUAAGUUCAGUUUUUUGUGACAACCCUAUAAAUAGUGAGCAAGAUGCAAUAACGUACUUUGAUAUAUACACUCUAGUCGCUAUUCAUUUUCCCAUUUUGUUAUAGUUCUAUGUUGUUUCAAGUCUAAUAUAGAUCAUGAUUAUUUAUUGGAACCCUGUAGGAAAGGGGUGGACUAUUUUGGACCAUUUUGUGUGCUCUACACACCAGCUUAAUACUUCAAAACAUUUGUUUAUGUUUGACCUUGAUUUUCUCAAAACGAACGAUAUCUGAAUAAUCGAGUUUGUGGAAAAUCUAAAAAAUAGAGGAUUUAAUAUUUUCCCUUCAUUUUUGGACUAUAGGUGUAUCUUGUGACCUUUUAUGGGUUAAGUAGACAGUUUUUUCAAAAUAGGCAGUUUCGCAUUAGUUACCAUGGAAACAGUGUUUUUUUCAGCUUUCGGACAUAACAGUUUGGCCAAAAAAAAUUCUGUCUACUUAACCUGUACAUUUGGAUAUAAGAAGCAGCCAUACAAAAUUUGGAGUUAGUAUCUUUUUCCCUUCAGGAGUUAUUGUUUCCACAAGUAUUUGUUUAUAUCGUAGUUUUUUGUCGUUGUCAUGGAAACCAUGAAGCACGGUCAAUCGACAAUAGUCUGAAAAUUUGUAUAUUUAUAAGAUCUAGCUUUGUGCCAAAUUUUAUGAUAAUUAAUUAAAAUGUUAUGAAACUAGAGCAAAAAUUCUGUUUUGGGCAAUUUAGGA